This 459-nucleotide ribosomal RNA is filed under the name uncultured bacterium. RNAcentral describes it as "partial 16S ribosomal RNA". It matches the Rfam family "Bacterial small subunit ribosomal RNA", at positions 338 to 795 of the family's 1533-position model. The record is from RNAcentral.
CCUACGGGUGGCUGCAGUGAGGAAUAUUGGUCAAUGGCCGAGAGGCUGAACCAGCCAAGUCGCGUGAGGGAAGACGGCCCUACGGGUUGUAAACCUCUUUUGUCGGGGAGCAAAGAGAGUCACGUGUGACUCAUUGAGAGUACCCGAAGAAAAAGCAUCGGCUAACUCCGUGCCAGCAGCCGCGGUAAUACGGAGGAUGCGAGCGUUAUCCGGAUUUAUUGGGUUUAAAGGGUGCGCAGGCGGAGGUGCAAGUCAGCGGUCAAAUCGCGGGGCUCAACCCCGUAGUGCCGUUGAAACUGCAUGCCUUGAGUGCGCGAGAAGUAUGCGGAAUGCGUGGUGUAGCGGUGAAAUGCAUAGAUAUCACGCAGAACUCCGAUUGCGAAGGCAGCAUACCGGCGCGCAACUGACGCUCAUGCACGAAAGCGUGGGUAUCGAACAGGAUUAGAUACCCCUGUAGUC